Non-coding RNA from Cajanus cajan (pigeon pea), 80 nucleotides. Lineage: Eukaryota; Viridiplantae; Streptophyta; Magnoliopsida; Fabales; Fabaceae. The record is from Rfam.
GGUCAAUUGAUGACAUACUAACUGCAAGGAUAUGAUUGGAUCUUAUUCCAUGAUUCAUUGUAUUUAAGUCUCUGAUGAUC